Molecule: unclassified non-coding RNA, 306 nt
Filed under: uncultured fungus
Lineage: Eukaryota; Fungi
Description: sequence contains ITS1
Rfam family: 5.8S ribosomal RNA (bases 1-107)
Source: RNAcentral
AAAAUGCGAUACUCGGUGUGAAUUGCAGAAUCCCGCGAACCAUCGAGUCUUUGAACGCAAGUUGCGCCUAAAGCCAUUAGGUUGAGGGCACGUCUGCGGGCGGAUGUUGGCCCCCCGCGCGCGGUCGGCCCAAAAGCCAGUCCCCCGCGACGGACGACGCGUUGCGACGAGUGGUGGUUGACAAACCGUUGCAUCGCCUCGCGCACGUCUAGUCCGUCACGGGAGGCCUGUCGUGACCCUAUCGCGUCGUCGCCAAGGCGCUCCGAUCACGACCCCAGGUCAGGCGGGAUUACCCGCUGAGUUUAA